Molecule: long non-coding RNA, 1313 nt
Filed under: Coturnix japonica (Japanese quail)
Lineage: Eukaryota; Metazoa; Chordata; Aves; Galliformes; Phasianidae
Description: lncRNA (ENSCJPG00005020613.1)
Source: RNAcentral
UGGCAAUCUGCAUUUUUUACUCUAUGCUUCAGGAUAAUUUUAUGUGCUUUAAUCUCAUCAACUUUAUUUAUUCCUUUUUCAGUAAUAUUGUACUGCUGCCUGGAGUCCGUGGCCCGCUGCACUGGCAUUUUCACUGAAGACUUAUUACUUCUGCAGACAUCUUCAAGGGAGUGAAUUUAAGGAAGGUAAUAUGGAGACAUGGUUAGGUUUUAUACCCUCUGCUCAUCAGGAUAAUGUAUAGAGACUUGCUGAACUGAGAUAUGAAGAUGGCCUAAUCAUCAAAUAUGGAUUCAGGUCUCCCCUGCUGAGCAGGACAGACAGACGGACUACGCAAGGCCCAACCCCUGUCCUUCCCGCAAACAGAGGCUGGAGAAACCACACGUCCCCUUUCCAGGAUGAAGCAAUUCAUAGGCAACCAGGAAGGAGGCAGACAGCCCAACUGUCUUCCCAUGAUACUGUUAAUAUGGACUGCACAUCUAAUUGCAAAAACAGAGAAUGAGGAAUUGCGGUGAGACUUGCUCCAUUGCAGAAACGUGCUAGAUCUACUGCCCUUGAAAACAGGUCACCACUUGUAUGGGAACUGCUGAGCACCUGGGGAAAGAACCUGGUCAGCCCUGGGAGCAAAGGUGAAGGAAAUUGGUUCCAGCUGUGGAACCAGGAGUGAAGCCUGGCUGCACCUCUCUUAGACCUCACUUAAGGGCUGACUGCCACUGAGAAAGGGUCUCUUUUCUGGAGGUUUCUCCUUGGUGAAGCUUUGCCCUGUCAAGCUCCAGAUACAGUACAGGUAAGCAGACUUCUUCCCUUCGUUUAUUGCACCUUUCUAUUGUGCCAAUCCAUGUCAUCACACCUUUCUUGUAAUACCUUUCCCAUUCUAUUGUUCUGUCCAGUUGCUACCAGUUGAAUGCGGUCUCAUUAAAAUCUCCACAUAUGAGUUCCUUUGCAGAGAUGUCUAGCAAGCUGGUGAUGGCAUCUGGAUCUAGACAGAUGUCUGUUAAGACCUAAGCUGGCACCACCAAUUUAUUUCACAUUGGCCACAAAAUAGCCAUCACCUUAUAAAGACUUUAAUUUAUUGCUAGUGACUAGUGAACCUCUGGAGGUUUGCUUGGGACAAAUACCGAUUCAGCUGCCAAACUUUAUCUGAACUAUCUGAACUUCUCAUGUAUAAAAAAAAAAUUGGGCCAAAAUGCUCAUCAGAUAAGGAUUUACUCUGUGAUUGACUGUAGUUAUUGCUUCCAGAAAGGCUAGCAUUACUGCCAUAACUGCAUUUUGUUUGGUAUUUGAUGUGUCCAGUUUUGCUGAGAACCUAUGAAAAA